Molecule: transfer RNA, 72 nt
Filed under: Bacteroidota bacterium
Lineage: Bacteria; Pseudomonadati; Bacteroidota
Also listed under: 1 other name
Description: Bacteroidetes bacterium (marine metagenome) tRNA-Met
Rfam family: tRNA
About the family: Transfer RNA (tRNA) molecules are approximately 80 nucleotides in length.
Source: RNAcentral
UGCGGGGUGGAGCAGAGGUAGCUCGUUGGGCUCAUAACCCAAAGGUCAUCAGUUCGAAUCUGGUCCCCGCUA